CCUUUUUUGGCAAUUAGUCCAAAACCUGACAUUUCUUUAUACAUAAUAUACAAGUAGUGUAAGGGAGGUAAAUCUGAACAUACCCAACAUUGUAUGUUAAAUGUUUUAGAAUUACCUCCCUUACACUGCUUUUCAAUUGUCUUAAUUGUCCAUUGACCAGAAAUACCUAGUUUUUGCACUUUUUUGCCCCUAAUUCUGAAACAUUUGAG
This 209-nucleotide long non-coding RNA is filed under the name Mytilus galloprovincialis (Mediterranean mussel). The record is from RNAcentral. Lineage: Eukaryota; Metazoa; Mollusca; Bivalvia; Mytilida; Mytilidae.